This 471-nucleotide ribosomal RNA is filed under the name uncultured bacterium. RNAcentral describes it as "bacterial SSU rRNA". It matches the Rfam family "Bacterial small subunit ribosomal RNA", at positions 28 to 507 of the family's 1533-position model. The record is from RNAcentral.
GAUGAACGCUGGCGGCGUGCUUAACACAUGCAAGUCGAACGGACUUUUGGUGAAGCCUAGCGAAUCAAAAGUUAGUGGCGGACGGGUGAGUAACGCGUGGGUAACCUGCCUUAUACAGGGGGAUAACACUUAGAAAUAGGUGCUAAUACCGCAUAAGCGCACAGUUUCGCAUGAAACAGUGUGAAAAACUCCGGUGGUAUAAGAUGGACCCGCGUCUGAUUAGCUAGUUGGUGAGGUAACGGCUCACCAAGGCGACGAUUGGUAGCCGGACUGAGAGGUUGAACGGCCACAUUGGGACUGAGACACGGCCCAGACUCCUACGGGAGGCAGCAGUGGGGGAUAUUGCACAAUGGAGGAAACUCUGAUGCAGCAACGCCGCGUGAGGGAAGAAGGUUUUCGGAUUGUAAACCUCUGUUUUUAGUGAAGAAACAAAUGACGGUAGCUAAAGAGGAAGCCACGGCUAACUACGUG